RNAcentral lists this ribosomal RNA (550 nucleotides) under uncultured bacterium. Its description in RNAcentral is "bacterial SSU rRNA". It matches the Rfam family "Bacterial small subunit ribosomal RNA", at positions 355 to 896 of the family's 1533-position model. The record is from RNAcentral.
UAGGGAAUCUUCCGCAAUGGGCGAAAGCCUGAUGGAGCAACGCCGCGUGAGUGAUGAAGGUCUUCGGAUCGUAAAACUCUGUUAUUAGGGAAGAACAUAUGUGUAAGUAACUGUGCACAUCUUGACGGUACCUAAUCAGAAAGCCACGGCUAACUACGUGCCAGCAGCCGCGGUAAUACGUAGGUGGCAAGCGUUAUCCGGAAUUAUUGGGCGUAAAGCGCGCGUAGGCGGUUUUUUAAGUCUGAUGUGAAAGCCCACGGCUCAACCGUGGAGGGUCAUUGGAAACUGGAAAACUUGAGUGCAGAAGAGGAAAGUGGAAUUCCAUGUGUAGCGGUGAAAUGCGCAGAGAUAUGGAGGAACACCAGUGGCGAAGGCGACUUUCUGGUCUGUAACUGACGCUGAUGUGCGAAAGCGUGGGGAUCAAACAGGAUUAGAUACCCUGGUAGUCCACGCCGUAAACGAUGAGUGCUAAGUGUUAGGGGGUUUCCGCCCCUUAGUGCUGCAGCUAACGCAUUAAGCACUCCGCCUGGGGAGUACGACCGCAAGGUUG